UAGCUGGUUCUCUCCGAAAUAGCUUUAGGGCUAGCCUCAAGUGAUGAUUAUUGGAGGUAGAGCACUGUUUGGACGAGGGGCCCCUCUCGGGUUACCGAAUUCAGACAAACUCCGAAUGCCAAUUAAUUUAACUUGGGAGUCAGAACAUGGGUGAUAAGGUCCGUGUUCGAAAGGGAAACAGCCCAGACCACCAGCUAAGGUCCCAAAAUAUAUGUUAAGUGGAAAAGGAUGUGGCGUUGCCCAGACAACUAGGAUGUUGGCUUAGAAGCAGCCAUCAUUUAAAGAGUGCGUAAUAGCUCACUAGUCGAGUGACACUGCGCCGAAAAUGUACCGGGGCUAAACAUAUUACCGAAGCUGUGGAUUGUCCUUUGGACAAUGGUAGGAGAGCGUUCUAAGGGCGUCGAAGCAUGAUCGCAAGGACAUGUGGAGCGCUUAGAAGUGAGAAUGCCGGUGUGAGUAGCGAAAGACGGGUGAGAAUCCCGUCCACCGAUUGACUAAGGUUUCCAGAGGAAGGCUCGUCCGCUCUGGGUUAGUCGGGUCCUAAGCUGAGGCCGACAGGCGUAGGCGAUGGAUAACAGGUUGAUAUUCCUGUACCACCUAGUAUCGUUUUAAUCGAUGGGGGGACGCAGUAGGAUAGGCGAAGCGUGCUGUUGGAGUGCACGUCCAAGCAGUAAGGCUGAGUGUUAGGCAAAUCCGGCACUCAUAAGGCUGAGCUGUGAUGGGGAGAGGAAAUUGUUUCCUCGAGUCGUUGAUUUCACACUGCCGAGAAAAGCCUCUAGAUAGAUAACAGGUGCCCGUACCGCAAACCGACACAGGUAGUCAAGAUGAGAAUUCUAAGGUGAGCGAGCGAACUCUCGUUAAGGAACUCGGCAAAAUGACCCCGUAACUUCGGGAGAAGGGGUGCUCUUUAGGGUUCACGCCCAGAAGAGCCGCAGUGAAUAGGCCCAAGCGACUGUUUAUCAAAAACACAGGUCUCUGCUAAACCGUAAGGUGAUGUAUAGGGGCUGACGCCUGCCCGGUGCUGGAAGGUUAAGAGGAGUGGUUAGCUUCUGCGAAGCUACGAAUCGAAGCCCCAGUAAACGGCGGCCGUAACUAUAACGGUCCUAAGGU
This 1110-nucleotide ribosomal RNA is filed under the name Listeria monocytogenes. RNAcentral's name for it is "bacterial LSU rRNA". It matches the Rfam family "Bacterial large subunit ribosomal RNA", at positions 846 to 1957 of the family's 2925-position model. The record is from RNAcentral. Lineage: Bacteria; Bacillati; Bacillota; Bacilli; Caryophanales; Listeriaceae.